CCGAAAUCACGGAAUAUCCGUUAAUGUCAAAGGACAUAAACAAGACUGUGUUUAUAAAGAUUGCCAGUGCAAUUUAUGUAAGAAUACUGAAGAAGAAAGACGUCAGACGGCUGCAAGAAUAGCAAUAUUUAGAGAAAGCAAACGCUUAUUCGAAUCAGAUGACGAAUUGCAAGAGCCACACAUUAAAAAAAAGGAAAAAAUGCCAAAACAAAAUGGAAAAAGACAAUCUUCUUACAGCCAAUCCACUCACGAAGUUGUAGCUGAUUUACAAUCCAAAAUCAUCCAAAAUGGACAAAAUUCAAAACCAAUUCCCUCAAAUAUCCAGCUGCUCCUAAAAAUAUUUCCAAACAUUUUUCCUGAUAGACUCGAAAUGUUCCUUCAACGUAACAAUGGCGACCUCAUGUAUACCAUCAAGUACAUCGACGUUCUAAUGAAAGAUGCUGCAUUAAUUCCACAACCAUCAAGAAUCUUUCCACACACCAAUACCCGUUCUUUUAACAACACGCACCUCUAUCAAAGGCAUCCAACACAACCAACAUACCCGGUUUUCCCACCUCUUCACAACAUCUAUUUCACCCCAUUUCCCCUGCGAGCCCCUACAUUUACUCGUACAAGAGUUAUCACUUCCAUCCACGACGA
Xenia sp. Carnegie-2017 is the source of this 639-nucleotide long non-coding RNA. RefSeq lists it as uncharacterized. The transcript has 2 exons. The record is from RefSeq and is a predicted model, not a curated record. Lineage: Eukaryota; Metazoa; Cnidaria; Anthozoa; Malacalcyonacea; Xeniidae.